ACGUUAGCGGCGGACGGGUGAGUAACACGUGGGUAACCUACCUAUAAGACUGGGAUAACUUCGGGAAAUCGGAGCUAAUACCGGAUAAUAUUUCGAACCGCAUGGUUCGAUAGUGAAAGAUGGUUUUGCUAUCACUUAUAGAUGGACCCGCGCCGUAUUAGCUAGUUGGUAAGGUAACGGCUUACCAAGGCGACGAUACGUAGCCGACCUGAGAGGGUGAUCGGCCACACUGGAACUGAGACACGGUCCAGACUCCUACGGGAGGCAGCAGAC
RNAcentral lists this ribosomal RNA (273 nucleotides) under uncultured Staphylococcus sp. RNAcentral's name for it is "partial 16S ribosomal RNA". It matches the Rfam family "Bacterial small subunit ribosomal RNA", at positions 89 to 354 of the family's 1533-position model. The record is from RNAcentral. Lineage: Bacteria; Bacillati; Bacillota; Bacilli; Caryophanales; Staphylococcaceae.